CCUACGGGGGGCUGCAGUGGGGAAUUUUGGACAAUGGGCGCAAGCCUGAUCCAGCCAUUCCGCGUGAGUGAAGAAGGCCUUCGGGUUGUAAAGCUCUUUCGCAAGGGAAGAAAACUUAUCCUCUAACAACGGAUGAGGUUGACGGUACUUUGAUAAGAAGCACCGGCUAACUCCGUGCCAGCAGCCGCGGUAAUACGUAGGGUGCGAACGUUAAUCGGAAUUACUGGGCGUAAAGUUGUAACAGGGAUGUGAAAUCCCCGGGCUCAACUUGGGAACUGCGUUUGAAACUACAAGACUAGAAUAGGUCAGAGGGGGGUAGAAUUCCACGUGUAGCAGUGAAAUGCGUAGAGAUGUGGAGGAAUAUCAAUGGCGAAGGCAGCCCCCUGGGAUCAUAUUGACGCUCAUGCACGAAAGCGUGGGGAGCAAACAGGAUUAGAUGCCCCGGUAGUC
Molecule: ribosomal RNA, 450 nt
Filed under: uncultured bacterium
Lineage: Bacteria
Description: partial 16S ribosomal RNA
Rfam family: Bacterial small subunit ribosomal RNA
Source: RNAcentral